RNAcentral lists this ribosomal RNA (413 nucleotides) under uncultured bacterium. Its description in RNAcentral is "bacterial SSU rRNA". It matches the Rfam family "Bacterial small subunit ribosomal RNA", at positions 354 to 777 of the family's 1533-position model. The record is from RNAcentral.
GUGGGGAAUAUUGCACAAUGGGCGCAAGCCUGAUGCAGCGACGCCGCGUGAGGGAUGGAGGCCUUCGGGUUGUAAACCUCUUUUGUUUGGGAGCAAGCCUUCGGGUGAGUGUACCUUUCGAAUAAGCGCCGGCUAACUACGUGCCAGCAGCCGCGGUAAUACGUAGGGCGCAAGCGUUAUCCGGAUUUAUUGGGCGUAAAGGGCUCGUAGGCGGCUCGUCGCGUCCGGUGUGAAAGUCCAUCGCUUAACGGUGGAUCUGCGCCGGGUACGGGCGGGCUGGAGUGCGGUAGGGGAGACUGGAAUUCCCGGUGUAACGGUGGAAUGUGUAGAUAUCGGGAAGAACACCGAUGGCGAAGGCAGGUCUCUGGGCCGUCACUGACGCUGAGGAGCGAAAGCGUGGGGAGCGAACAGGA